RNAcentral lists this non-coding RNA (45 nucleotides) under Schistosoma haematobium. The record is from RNAcentral. Lineage: Eukaryota; Metazoa; Platyhelminthes; Trematoda; Strigeidida; Schistosomatidae.
AUCCAGCUGACGAGUUCCGAAUAAGACGAAACGCGCAUCCUUGAU